This 2449-nucleotide long non-coding RNA is filed under the name Hordeum vulgare. Its description in RNAcentral is "long non-coding RNA (HVUL_LNC016496)". The record is from RNAcentral. Lineage: Eukaryota; Viridiplantae; Streptophyta; Magnoliopsida; Poales; Poaceae.
GCAGCUGAUGAGCAAGGAGUUGGCCACCUUCAAGUCCGUGAUGAAGUCCUUCAUGGUGCUCAUAGUGACAGCGCUGGCGAUGGGCGAGACGCUGGCGAUGGCGCCGGACAUCAUCAAGGGGAACCAGAUGGCGUCUUCGGUGUUCGAGAUCCUGGACAGGAAGACGGAAGUCCAGAUCGACACCGGCGACGACAUCAAGAAAGUGGAGGGAGUGAUCCAACUGCGGGACGUGGAGUUCCGGUACCCGUCGAGGUCGGAGGUGGCCGUGUUCAAAGGGCUCGACCUCCUGAUGAAGGCCGGCAAGAGCAUGGCGCUCGUCGGGAUGAGCGGCUCCGGCAAGAGCACCGUGGUCUCCCUCAUCGAGCGGUUCUACGAGCCGCUCUCGGGCGCGAUCCUCCUCGACGGGCACGACAUCAAGGACCUGGACGUCAAGUGGCUGCGCGGGCAGAUCGGGCUCGUCAACCAGGAGCCGGCGCUGUUCGCGACGAGCAUCCGGGAGAACAUACUCUACGGCAAGAGCGACGCCACCGCCGACGAGAUCAACCACGCGGCGAAGCUGUCCGAGGCGAUCACCUUCAUCAACAACCUCCCCGAGCGGUACGAGACGCAGGUCGGCGAGCGCGGGAUACAGCUCUCGGGAGGGCAGAAGCAGCGGAUCGCCAUCUCGAGGGCGAUACUCAAGAACCCGUCCAUACUUCUCCUCGACGAGGCCACCAGUGCGCUGGACGCCGAGUCCGAGAAGAGCGUGCAGGAGGCGCUGGACCGCGUCAUGGUCGGCCGCACCACCGUGGUGAUCGCGCACCGGCUGUCCACCAUCAGGAACGCCGACACCAUCGCCGUCGUGGAUGGGGGGAGGAUCGUCGAGACCGGCACGCACGAGCAGCUCAUGGGCGACCCUCUCAGCGCCUACUCGUCACUGAUCCAGCUGCAGGAGGCUGCUCAGCUUCAGCACAAGCCCUCUUUCUCGCAUAGCACAAGCAUCACCAGGCCACUAAGGCACGUAUCUACACAUGGCAUCGACAUUGUUUCAUGUGUCAACUGGCAGGCAUGAGCUAACCGGUCAUUUUGACAUGGUUUCAGUUUCAAGUAUUCGAGGGAGCUGUCAAGGACGAGCAGGGGUGGCAGCUUCCGCUCCGACAAGGACUCGAUAAGCCGGUACGGCGCGGCGGAGCUGAACGACGAAGGGCACAGCAAGGGGAAGCCCGUCUCGAUGAAGAAGCUCUACUCCAUGGUGCGGCCGGACUGGGUGUUCGGCGUGUCGGGCACCAUCAGCGCGUUCGUGGCCGGCGCCCAGAUGCCGCUCUUCGCCCUGGGCGUGACGCAGGCGCUCGUGUCAUACUACAUGGGGUGGGAGACCACCAAGAGGGAGGUGCGCAAGAUCGCCACGCUCUUCUGCUGCGGCGCCGUGCUCACCGUGGUGUUCCACGUGAUCGAGCACCUCAGCUUCGGCAUCAUGGGCGAGCGGCUCACGCUGCGCGUCCGGGAGAAGAUGUUCGCCGCCAUCCUGCGGAACGAGAUCGGGUGGUUCGACAGCACCAGCCACACAAGCGCCAUGCUGGCGUCGCGGCUCGAGACCGACGCCACGCUGGUGCGCACCAUCGUCGUCGACCGCUCCACCAUCCUGUUGCAGAACGUCGGCAUGAUCGUCACGUCGCUCAUCAUCGCCUUCAUACUCAACUGGAGGAUUACGCUCGUCGUGCUCGCCACGUAUCCCCUCAUGGUCAGCGGCCACAUCAGUGAGGUGAACACAAGUUCUUUUCGCUUUCAACCAUGUCGGUGCUAGCUAGUGCUUCUUCUCUCUUCUUUGGCCUGAUCAGAGUCAUCUGAAUCAUGUUGUGAUUGUGAUGCAACAGAAAAUGUUCAUGAAAGGAUACGGAGGCAACCUCGGCAAGUCGUAUCUGAAGGCCAACAUGCUCGCCGCCGAGGCGGUGAGCAACAUGAGGACGGUGGCCGCCUUCUGCGCCGAGGAAAAGGUGAUAAAGCUCUACGCGGAUGAGCUCAAGGAGCCCGGGAAACGGUCUUUCCGGCGAGGACAGGGAGCCGGGGUCUUCUAUGGAGUCUCUCAGUUCUUCCUCUUCUCUUCCUAUGCGCUGGCUCUAUGGUAAGUGAAUUGCUACUGAAACACAGCCAGCUCAGUCUAAAUCUGCUGUACCCCAAGAGCAACUGGUGAAACGUUUGAAAAAAUCAGGUACGGUUCGCAGCUGAUGAGCAAGGAGUUGGCCACCUUCAAGUCCGUGAUGAAGUCCUUCAUGGUGCUCAUAGUGACAGCGCUGGCGAUGGGCGAGACGCUGGCGAUGGCGCCGGACAUCAUCAAGGGGAACCAGAUGGCGUCUUCGGUGUUCGAGAUCCUGGACAGGAAGACGGAAGUCCAGAUCGACACCGGCGACGACAUCAAGAAAGUGGAGGGAGUGAUCCAACUGCGGGACGUGGAGUUCCGGUACCCGUCGAG